This 377-nucleotide ribosomal RNA is filed under the name uncultured bacterium. RNAcentral's name for it is "partial 16S ribosomal RNA". It matches the Rfam family "Bacterial small subunit ribosomal RNA", at positions 338 to 732 of the family's 1533-position model. The record is from RNAcentral.
CCUACGGGAGGCAGCAGUAGGGAAUAUUGCUCAAUGGGGGAAACACUGAAGCAGCAACGCCGCGUGGAGGAUGACGGUUUUCGGAUUGUAAACUCCUUUUGUUAGAGAAGAUAAUGACGGUAUCUAACGAAUAAGCACCGGCUAACUCCGUGCCAGCAGCCGCGGUAUUACGGAGGGUGCGAGCGUUACUCGGAAUCAAGGGGCGUAAAGUGCGCGUAGGCGGGAUAGCAAGUCAGAUGUGAAAGCCUAUGGCUUAACCAUAGAACUGCAGUUGAAACUGGUAUUCUAGAGUAUGGGAGAGGUAGGUGGAAUUCUUGGUGUAGCGGUAAAAUGCGUAGAGAUCAAGAGGAAUACCGAUUGCGAAGGCGACUUUCUGG